GACGAACCGUGCGAACGUUGUUCGGAAUAACUGGGCUUAAAGGGUGCGUAGGCGGGUCCGCCAGGCUGUGGUGAAAUCCUCCCGCUCAACGGGAGAACUGCCGUGGAUACUGCGGACCUCGAGGAAGAUAGGGGCGUGCGGAACAGUUGGUGGAGCGGUGAAAUGCGUUGAUAUCAACUGGAACUCCGGUGGCGAAGGUGGCACGCUGGGUCUUUUCUGACGCUGAGGCACGAAAGCUAGGGGAGCAAACAGG
This 253-nucleotide ribosomal RNA is filed under the name uncultured bacterium. RNAcentral describes it as "partial 16S ribosomal RNA". It matches the Rfam family "Bacterial small subunit ribosomal RNA", at positions 524 to 776 of the family's 1533-position model. The record is from RNAcentral.